This 490-nucleotide ribosomal RNA is filed under the name uncultured bacterium. RNAcentral's name for it is "partial 16S ribosomal RNA". It matches the Rfam family "Bacterial small subunit ribosomal RNA", at positions 29 to 507 of the family's 1533-position model. The record is from RNAcentral.
AGUGAACGCUGGCGGUAGGCCUAACACAUGCAAGUCGAACGGCAGCACAGGAGAGCUUGCUCUCUGGGUGGCGAGUGGCGGACGGGUGAGGAAUACAUCGGAAUCUGCCCAGUCGUGGGGGAUAACGUAGGGAAACUUACGCUAAUACCGCAUACGACCUUCGGGUGAAAGAGGGGGAUCGCAAGACCUCUCGCGAUUGGAUGAGCCGAUGUCGGAUUAGCUAGUUGGCGGGGCAAUGGCCCACCAAGGCGACGAUCCGUAGCUGGUCUGAGAGGAUGAUCAGCCACACUGGAACUGAGACACGGUCCAGACUCCUACGGGAGGCAGCAGUGGGGAAUAUUGGACAAUGGGCGCAAGCCUGAUCCAGCCAUACCGCGUGGGUGAAGAAGGCCUUCGGGUUGUAAAGCCCUUUUGUUGGGAAAGAAAUCUUUCAGGCUAAUACCCUGGGAGGAUGACGGUACCCAAAGAAUAAGCACCGGCUAACUUCGUG